Long non-coding RNA from Rosa chinensis, 1374 nucleotides. RefSeq lists it as uncharacterized. NCBI's taxonomy places the organism in Eukaryota, Viridiplantae, Streptophyta, Magnoliopsida, Rosales, Rosaceae. The record is from RefSeq and is a predicted model, not a curated record. The transcript has 5 exons.
CGCUCUCUCUUAUCUCUUCCAUCUUCCAUCGCUUUCUCUUUUCCAAUUUGGAACCGAUGAAAGAGAUAUGAGAAUCGAUUCAAUCUUUGACUAAUCGCCGAAGCUAUGUACUGGCGGUUAGAUCGAUACCAUUGUUCAUCGGAGAUUUGAAUACAUAGAUCCGGUCAGGUGGUAAGAUUCAUGUUCUCACAAGAAAGGCAAAGGACCAGUAUUCUUGGAAAGGAUUUGGGGCAAUGUCUAAUGCUAUACAGGAGCUUAAGGAAGAGGGUCUGAAAGAGAACUUCAAUACCUUCCAUCAAUUUUACGGCAAUGAUGAUCCAAAAGAGUCGGUUUUGUUGUGGCAAAGGUGAUGCAAGGAGCCUCUUUAUUCACUGCUUGUUCUAGUAGGAGCUUAGCGGUCGGUGCGGCAUUUGGCUGCAGUUGCAAUGGCGAGGGUUAUAUCCAAGGGAGAUAUCAUCUUAAUAUACUCAAGAGCCAGCAACCUCCUAGGGUUUCUUUCUGAUGGGAAGAAGAGUGACUCACAAAAAGUAGCUGGGGCUGCAUAAUGCUUAGGAGGAUUAUAUCGAUAUUUUGGGAGGCGAAUCACUUCAAGUUUACUUAAAACGACUAUGAUUGCCACAAAACUCAUCAAGUUUCAUGAGGUACUUCCACCACAUCUGUAACUCUUUUGUAUUAUAGGUUGGUAUUGUCUUUUUAUUAUUUUCUUCGUUCCACAAGGAGUAGAACUUUCAAUAAGAAAAAAAUGGGUGAACAAAGUGUAUUUGUCAUAUACUGCAUCAGUUGAAGAAUACUGCAUUGGAAUUGUGAUAUGCCACACUGAUUUUUAUUAUUAUGUUUAUUAUUUAUUUAUUUUACAACUAGUGAAGGACCUAAGAUCUUCGGCUAAAUGGUUGGAGAUCCUAGUUAAGAUAUGCUUCUUAUACAAAAUGGUCGCUAAACCAUACUUGAUUCAAGUAUAGUUAGCUUCUGGCGGUCUUUUCUAUUUUUUGUUUGUAGAUGAGGCUUUAUAUAUGCGUCAAAAUGCUUUGGAAGGGUCUGGUAGUAGUGGUGCUGCUUCAGCAUAUACCGAGGCAUUUCGUAUCUUCAUGUGGUUUGCUGUUGGUGGUAAAUCAUUUCUUGUCAUCAUCGCUGCUGCAAGAUGUUUGAAGGCAUUUGAUAUUAUUGGAAGACUGGGUUUAGGGAUGGAAGAACUUGACAAUUCAGCUUCUUUCUGUGUCAAGGUAGAUGUGUUUCUUUGCUAGUUUUCCAUGUUGGAUUUCUAGUAGUGUAUAGCUUCUUAUGGAUGUAUUUUUAAGUUGUAUAUUUAUUGUAUAAUACAUUUUAAAUACAAUACAAGAUUGUAUAUGCACCAAUUAUUUGGUGCCUUUUUUUUAA